UACUACCUGGGCCUGGUGCAGUGGGUGAUUCAGAAGCUACCAGACAUUGGAGCUUGCAACUGGAGUCUCAACCCACGAGUGCCGGUCUUAAAACAAAGGCUCACUACUGCCUUCAAGGAUUCCAGAGGAAAGUACACCUUCUGGAUGGCAUGUCUGCAGCCUGAGUACAUUGUUGACCUCCUCCUGCUCAGGCCACUCCCUGGAGUUGAUACCCUGAGGCACCAACUUAGGGAGCAGGCAUGCCCAGCAGCCAGGCUUCCCUUGGACUUUCCCUUUGACUCUGUUUGGACUCUUCCUGACUCCUCCCACAUUGUUUAUGUUAUGCAAAUGUCAUUGUAACCUAGAGAUCCGGUUUGUCCUUCUUGUAUAAAUGCUAAGCCCCAAAAGUAAAAUGAAAAGCCUUGAUUGGAAACCCUCAA
This is a long non-coding RNA of Mastomys coucha (southern multimammate mouse), 419 nucleotides long. RefSeq lists it as uncharacterized. NCBI's taxonomy places the organism in Eukaryota, Metazoa, Chordata, Mammalia, Rodentia, Muridae. The transcript has 2 exons. The record is from RefSeq and is a predicted model, not a curated record.